AUCCCUAUGGUAUAAAAAUCUCUGGUAAUUACUCAGUUGACUGCUCUUGCGUGAAUGAAAAUGUCUUGCCCUGCCCAGGGACGGCGGACAACCUUCGAAAUAACCUUUUCCGAACGAUGUCAGCAGUCAGGAACUUGAGAGCAAAACACGCGAACCAGUAACCAUCAAUCUUAAGGAGAAUUUGGCGACUUAUACAGGAUUCAACCAGUUCUACCGAAGCGGUGUGUAAAUACUCCAAGAUAAAGUUAGUCCCAGGUACUUAAAAGGAUCGUCUUUACCCUUCAGUUGAGAUAACGAACUCUGCUCAACGAGGGACAUUCCUAUAGUAUCGAUGGUGUCAAAUCCGAACCCUCCUCCUCCGGGCUUGGACGACCAGAGAACCUUCUUCAGAAAAAAAUAACAGACAAAGCCAUCGCAACAGAGACGGACGGGAGGCAGUAUCAUCUUCAUCGUUUCGGGCUCGACGCGACAAGGACUGAGUUACACGAUCGGGGAACGCUUACCUUGAAGUCAGACGUGGAGACGGUGGUGGCAGGGAGUGACUCUCGUCGAAAUCUCUCAGCCUAGCUGCGAGUCCGUCCAGCGAAGAAGCGAUCGAGCCACUUGGACUGGACCCUCUGUGAGAUGUGAAAGUAAUUUUACGUCACCUGCUGAUCGUCUGGAGUCCAAAUUCCACACGUGAUGGUUGCCUGGUCAUU
Molecule: long non-coding RNA, 698 nt
Organism: Neodiprion fabricii
Lineage: Eukaryota; Metazoa; Arthropoda; Insecta; Hymenoptera; Diprionidae
Exons: 5
Source: RefSeq, a predicted model, not a curated record